AUUGAUCCACGGUUUGCGAAACUGUCGUGCGGUACUUGGUGGCUUUCGUAUUUAUACGUGCGUAUUCCGCAAAUAUGUAGUUUUAAUGAUACAGCGCAUUAAAGAUCUAUCCAAGACCCGUUCUUUUUUCGGGUUGUUGUACAGUGCCAAGAAGUCCGGUACCGAUUUACAAAAACUGCUAACAGGUGUGACGUUUACAAUCAAUAUCUACUAUGAAUAAACAUAUAUCAGUGUGUAAUAUCAAGUCUACCUGGACUGAACCAUGCAAGCAUGCUCAUUAUUCUUAAUCUACCACCCAGGCACCGACAAAAAACUCAAAUAAUAUCUUAAAUAUCGGGAAUGGCGAUUCUGUCCCAACCAAACAUUGUGAGGAUCGUAGAAAUUUCUACAAAGAAAGAGAGAGAAAAUCCACACCUUUAAGGUGAACUACAUACAAAUAAGGCGGCCUGUAGUUGACAUCCAGAGAAGAGGACCAGUGCAUUGUGUCGACCCGGUUGCCACAACUGCAAAGGAAGCAGACCGGGAAGAUUUAUAUGAUCGUUUGAUCAAUGUUGGAAGAUUAGGAACAAGAAGAGUUCAGUGGAUGUCAAGAAGCCUUUUGCAUCUGCAUGUAUUGAAUUUGUACAGGUGCAGAUUGGUAGCAGUUACAGCCAGGUUUCCAGUAACUGGGUACAGAUGGCAAGCAUCCAGGGGCAUUGUUGACGGAGAUCCACUUGAGGUCAUCACACUGCAGUGAGCCGGUGGAAUAUAUAAGGUGUUUAACUGUGAGUCAUUUAGGAGAAGUGUUGUAAGCUUUUCCAAGUGCCAUGGGAGAUGUUAGAAGUACCCCAUCCCAAAGCAGUUGUGCUGUGGGACCCAAACAGCGGAUAAAUAAAAGGCUUAUAUAAUAUAUCAAAGAUAUAUCCUGUUCAGCAAGAUGUUCCAGUGCUGUUCUGAUGAUGCAGCAGGUGCUGUAGGGGUCCAUCCACUGGCCAGCUGAGCUGGUGGCAGAUGACCUGGAAGACAUUGUCAAGACUGAAUUUAAUUAUUAAAAAUGUCUUGCUAAUAAAUGAACAUAACAUUGUAUUACUUUUGUAUCUGAUGUCCAACUGUUAACAUUAAAAAGUUGUGAUAUGUCA
Schistocerca nitens (vagrant locust) is the source of this 1118-nucleotide long non-coding RNA. RefSeq lists it as uncharacterized. The transcript has 5 exons. Lineage: Eukaryota; Metazoa; Arthropoda; Insecta; Orthoptera; Acrididae. The record is from RefSeq and is a predicted model, not a curated record.